CGUUCAUUCGCGGCUGGCAGCCGCGGUAUUGCGUGUGGGGGUAGCGUGCUCCGGACUCUUUGGGCGUAUCGCGCGUGUAGGCGCCCCGUUACGUCCCCUGUGAAAUUCGAUGGCUCAACCCUCGGAUGCCGGUGGUUACUGCUGGGCUUGAGUACGGAAGAGGCGAGUGGAAUUCCUGGUGUAGCGGUGAAAUGCGUAGAUAUCUGGAGGAACACCGAUUGCGAAGGCAGCUCGCUGGGACGUGACUGACGCUGAGACGCGAAAGCGUGGGGAGCAAACAGGAUUAGAUACCCGAGUAGUC
Molecule: ribosomal RNA, 301 nt
Filed under: uncultured Bacillus sp.
Lineage: Bacteria; Bacillati; Bacillota; Bacilli; Caryophanales; Bacillaceae
Description: bacterial SSU rRNA
Rfam family: Bacterial small subunit ribosomal RNA
Source: RNAcentral